Long non-coding RNA from Malania oleifera, 614 nucleotides. RefSeq lists it as uncharacterized. The transcript is spliced from 2 exons. The record is from RefSeq and is a predicted model, not a curated record. NCBI's taxonomy places the organism in Eukaryota, Viridiplantae, Streptophyta, Magnoliopsida, Santalales, Ximeniaceae.
AAUUUCAUCGUACGUUAUGAGGUCAGCAUCACGGAUGCUGCGCCUCAAAUGAAGCCUAAAAAGCAAAAAUCCUAAAACUGGGACCUCAUAAAUAAAUCAAGAGAUCACGACUCCAUGUCGCCGUUGAUGCUCCCACCAGUGACGCGGCACUCUCGCCGGCGACGACUGAUGGCGGCCACUUUCUUGGCCUAAAGCGCACGCGGCGCCGCUCCCCAAACUCCUGCUCCAUCGCCGGAGAGAGAGAGAGAGAGAGAGGGGUACCUGUUGCGGAGAAGGAUCCGGCGCCUGAAAAAUGGAAAGAGCCUUUCGCGGCGGUGGCCUUUCGUAGGAAAGAAGACCGCCAAACAUUCCGGCGAAAACCAGUGUAAAUAUGGGGACAAGAAAUUGUCUUCCCAUGGCGAAAGUGGCUGAGAUUUUGAGAAGUUAAGGGCGAAGAAGAUUGUGUAUGACUAAGUUCGAUGAAACAACAAUACUAUAUAAGGUGUGUUUUUUUGGUUAGGUAAUUCAUAAUUGACUCUUUUGUCCUUGCUUGUAUCCGGCAAGCAACGGUAUACAAGCAGAGUGGGGGGGACUGUUUUAGCUGUUGUCCUCAAAUCAAGUCGGUUUAUCUCUCC